GGACUACCAGGGUAUCUAAUCCUGUUCGCUCCCCACGCUUUCGCUUCUCAGCGUCAGUAUCGGCCCAGAGACCCGCCUUCGCCACCGGUGUUCCUCCUGAUAUCUGCGCAUUCCACCGCUACACCAGGAAUUCCAGUCUCCCCUGCCGAACUCUAGCCCGCCCGUAUCGGGAGCAGGCCCGCGGUUGAGCCGCGGGUUUUCACUCCCGACGUGACGAGCCGCCUACAAGCUCUUUACGCCCAAUAAUUCCGGACAACGCUCGCACCCUACGUAUUACCGCGGCGGCUGGCAC
This 292-nucleotide ribosomal RNA is filed under the name uncultured bacterium. Its description in RNAcentral is "partial 16S ribosomal RNA". The record is from RNAcentral.